This 488-nucleotide ribosomal RNA is filed under the name Cupriavidus metallidurans. Its description in RNAcentral is "bacterial SSU rRNA". It matches the Rfam family "Bacterial small subunit ribosomal RNA", at positions 45 to 526 of the family's 1533-position model. Lineage: Bacteria; Pseudomonadati; Pseudomonadota; Betaproteobacteria; Burkholderiales; Burkholderiaceae. The record is from RNAcentral.
UGGCCUAAAAAAAUGCAAACCCGAGCGAAAGGGAUUAGGAGCUUGCUCUUUCCCAAGUUAGCGGCGGACGGGUGAGUAACACGUGGGUAACCUGCCCAUAAGACUGGGAUAACUCCGGGAAACCGGGGCUAAUACCGGAUAACAUUUUGAACCGCAUGGUUCGAAAUUGAAAGGCGGCUUCGGCUGUCACUUAUGGAUGGACCCGCGUCGCAUUAGCUAGUUGGUGAGGUAACGGCUCACCAAGGCAACGAUGCGGAUCCGACCUGAAAGGGUGAUCGGCCACACUGGGACUGAACACGGCCCUACUCCUACGGGAGGCAGCAAUAUGGAAUCUUCCGAAUGGACGAAAGUCUGACGGACAACGCCGCGUGAGUGAUAAGGCUUUCGGUCUAUAACUCUGUUGUUAGGAAAACAGUGCUAUAAUAACUGGCCCUUGCGGACCUAACCAACCACGCUACUACUGCCCCGAUCAGGGAACUAUCCAAUUU